GAUGAACGCUGGCGGCGUGCCUAAUACAUGCAAGUCGAGCGAACGGACGAGAAGCUUGCUUCUCUGAUGUUAGCGGCGGACGGGUGAGUAACACGUGGAUAACCUACCUAUAAGACUGGGAUAACUUCGGGAAACCGGAGCUAAUACCGGAUAAUAUUUUGAACCGCAUGGUUCAAAAGUGAAAGACGGUCUUGCUGUCACUUAUAGAUGGAUCCGCGCUGCAUUAGCUAGUUGGUAAGGUAACGGCUUACCAAGGCAACGAUGCAUAGCCGACCUGAGAGGUGGAUCGGCCACACUGGAACUGAGACACGGUCCAGACUCCUACGGGAGGCAGCAGUAGGGAAUCUUCCGCAAUGGGCGAGAGCCUGACGGAGCAACGCCGCGUGAGUGAUGAAGGUCUUCGGAUCGUAAAACUCUGUUAUUAGGGAAGAACAUAUGUGUAAGUAACUGUGCACAUCUUGACGGUACCUAAUCAGAAAGCCACGGCUAACUACGUG
RNAcentral lists this ribosomal RNA (497 nucleotides) under uncultured bacterium. RNAcentral's name for it is "partial 16S ribosomal RNA". It matches the Rfam family "Bacterial small subunit ribosomal RNA", at positions 28 to 507 of the family's 1533-position model. The record is from RNAcentral.